UACGUAGGUGGCAAGCGUUAUCCGGAUUUAUUGGGUGUAAAGGGCGUGUAGGCGGGAAUGCAAGUCAGAUGUGAAAACUCAGGGCUCAACCCUGAGCCUGCAUUUGAAACUGUAUUUCUUGAGUGCUGGAGAGGCAAUCGGAAUUCCGUGUGUAGCGGUGAAAUGCGUAGAUAUACGGAGGAACACCAGUGGCGAAGGCGGAUUGCUGGACAGUAACUGACGCUGAGGCGCGAAAGCGUGGGGAGCAAAUAGG
RNAcentral lists this ribosomal RNA (253 nucleotides) under uncultured bacterium. RNAcentral describes it as "partial 16S ribosomal RNA". It matches the Rfam family "Bacterial small subunit ribosomal RNA", at positions 524 to 776 of the family's 1533-position model. The record is from RNAcentral.